GGUUAAGGCUCAGUGGCAGAGUGCUUGCCUAGCACACGUGAGGCCCUGGGUUUGAUCCUCAGCACCA
Molecule: transfer RNA, 67 nt
Filed under: Marmota monax (woodchuck)
Lineage: Eukaryota; Metazoa; Chordata; Mammalia; Rodentia; Sciuridae
Description: tRNA.Ala
Source: RNAcentral